GACGAACGCUGGCGGCGUGCUUAACACAUGCAAGUCGAACGGAAAGGCCCUGCUUUUGUGGGGUGCUCGAGUGGCGAACGGGUGGGUAACACGUGAGUAACCUGCCCUUGACUUUGGGAUAACUUCAGGAAACUGGGGCUAAUACCGGAUAGGAGCUCCUGCUGCAUGGUGGGGGUUGGAAAGUUUCGGCGGUUGGGGAUGGACUCGCGGCUUAUCAGCUUGUUGGUGGGGUAGUGGCUUACCAAGGCUUUGACGGGUAGCCGGCCUGAGAGGGUGACCGGCCACAUUGGGACUGAGAUACGGCCCAGACUCCUACGGGAGGCAGCAGUGGGGAAUAUUGCACAAUGGGCGGAAGCCUGAUGCAGCAACGCCGCGUGCGGGAUGACGGCCUUCGGGUUGUAAACCGCUUUCGCCUGUGACGAAGCGUGAGUGACGGUAAUGGGUAAAGAAGCACCGGCGAACUACGG
RNAcentral lists this ribosomal RNA (467 nucleotides) under uncultured bacterium. Its description in RNAcentral is "partial 16S ribosomal RNA". It matches the Rfam family "Bacterial small subunit ribosomal RNA", at positions 28 to 506 of the family's 1533-position model. The record is from RNAcentral.